Molecule: ribosomal RNA, 205 nt
Filed under: uncultured Staphylococcus sp.
Lineage: Bacteria; Bacillati; Bacillota; Bacilli; Caryophanales; Staphylococcaceae
Description: partial 16S ribosomal RNA
Rfam family: Bacterial small subunit ribosomal RNA
Source: RNAcentral
CCGGAGCUAAUACCGGAUAAGAUAUCGAACCGCAUGGUUCGAUAGUGAAAGAUGGUUUUGCUAUCACUUAUAGAUGGACCCGCGCCGUAUUAGCUAGUUGGUGAGGUAACGGCUCACCAAGGCAACGAUACGUAGCCGACCUGAGAGGGUGAUCGGCCACACUGGAACUGAGACACGGUCCAGACUCCUACGGGAGGCAGCAGCG